Molecule: ribosomal RNA, 158 nt
Filed under: Acinetobacter sp. SwsAc5
Lineage: Bacteria; Pseudomonadati; Pseudomonadota; Gammaproteobacteria; Moraxellales; Moraxellaceae
Description: partial 16S ribosomal RNA
Rfam family: Bacterial small subunit ribosomal RNA (bases 46-158)
Source: RNAcentral
GAUGAGCCAGAUUUGGAAGUUUAGAUUAAAGCUUCAAAAUGAUUUUAACUGAAGAGUUUGAUCAUGGCUCAGAUUGAACGCUGGCGGCAGGCUUAACACAUGCAAGUCGAGCGGGCGAGGUUGCUUCGGUAACUGAGCUAGCGGCGGACGGGUGAGUA